GAUGAACGCUGGCGGCGUGCCUAAUACAUGCAAGUCGAGCGAACGGACGAUAAGCUUGCUUCUCUGACGUUAGCGGCGGACGGGUGAGUAACACGUGGAUAACCUACCUAUAAGACUGGGAUAACUUCGGGAAACCGGAGCUAAUACCGGAUAAUAUUUUGAACCGCAUGGUUCAAAAGUGAAAGACGGUCUUGCUGUCACUUAUAGAUGGAUCCGCGCUGCAUUAGCUAGUUGGUAAGGUAACGGCUUACCAAGGCAACGAUGCAUAGCCGACCUGAGAGAGUGAUCGGCCACACUGGAACUGAGACACGGUCCAGACUACUACGGGAGGCAGCAGUAGGGAAUCGUACGCAAUGGGCGAGAGCCUGACGGAGCAACGGCGCGUGAGUGGUGAAGGUCUUCGGAUCGUAAAACUCUGUUAUUAGGGAAGAACAUAUGUGUAAGUAAAUGUGCACAUAUUGACGGUAACUAAUAAGAAAGCAACGGCUAACUACGUG
Molecule: ribosomal RNA, 497 nt
Filed under: uncultured bacterium
Lineage: Bacteria
Description: partial 16S ribosomal RNA
Rfam family: Bacterial small subunit ribosomal RNA
Source: RNAcentral